UACUACUACAACUGAUGAUGAUGAUGAUGAUGAUGAUGAUGAUACUUACAAGGAAAGCGAGAGAAAGAAUAGCAAUAGCAAAACCUACUCCCGAUUGUGAGAAAAUGAAGACGAGGAGUAAACGUUAAACAAUAGAUAUGAAAAUGAAUUAGUCCCUAUGAAAUAUGGUUUCCUUGGCAACAUGUUCCUUGUUCAAAUGGGAUCCAUUCUCGGCGGUCGCUAUGUGAAGGAAUGUAAGUGGAAUAAAAUAUCUCCAGUAGAUCUGAUCUCGCAUUUGUUGGUCCGGGAGUUCAGUAUCAGAAACCAUAAGACUAUUUUCCCUCUGAAAAUUAAAAUGAAUUUUUUUCUUAA
This is a long non-coding RNA of Octopus sinensis (East Asian common octopus), 351 nucleotides long. RefSeq lists it as uncharacterized. NCBI's taxonomy places the organism in Eukaryota, Metazoa, Mollusca, Cephalopoda, Octopoda, Octopodidae. The record is from RefSeq and is a predicted model, not a curated record. The transcript is spliced from 2 exons.